GAUGAACGCUGGCGGCGUGCCUAAUACAUGCAAGUCGAGCGAACGGACGAGAAGCUUGCUUCUCUGAUGUUAGCGGCGGACGGGUGAGUAACACGUGGAUAACCUACCUAUAAGACUGGGAUAACUUCGGGAAACCGGAGCUAAUACCGGAUAAUAUUUUGAACCGCAUGGUUCAAAAGUGAAAGACGGUCUUGCUGUCACUUAUAGAUGGAUCCGCGCUGCAUUAGCUAGUUGGUAAGGUAACGGCUUACCAAGGCAACGAUGCAUAGCCGACCUGAGAGGGUGAUCGGCCACACUGGAACUGAGACACGGUCCAGACUCCUACGGGAGGCAGCAGUAGGGAAUCUUCCGCAAUGGGCGAAAGCCUGACGGAGCAACGCCGCGUGAGUGAUGAAGGUCUUCGGAUCGUAAAACUCUGUUAUUAGGGAAGAACAUAUGUGUAAGUAACUGUGCACAUCUUGACGGUACCUAAUCAGAAAGCCACGGCUAACUACGUGCCAGCAGCCGCGGUAAUACGUAGGUGGCAAGCGUUAUCCGGAAUUAUUGGGCGUAAAGCGCGCGUAGGCGGUUUUUUAAGUCUGAUGUGAAAGCCCACGGCUCAACCGUGGAGGGUCAUUGGAAACUGGAAAACUUGAGUGCAGAAGAGGAAAGUGGAAUUCCAUGUGUAGCGGUGAAAUGCGCAGAGAUAUGGAGGAACACCAGUGGCGAAGGCGACUUUCUGGUCUGUAACUGACGCUGAUGUGCGAAAGCGUGGGGAUCAAACAGGAUUAGAUACCCUGGUAGUCCACGCCGUAAACGAUGAGUGCUAAGUGUUAGGGGGUUUCCGCCCCUUAGUGCUGCAGCUAACGCAUUAAGCACUCCGCCUGGGGAGUACGACCGCAAGGUUGAAACUCAAAGGAAUUGACGGGGACCCGCACAAGCGGUGGAGCAUGUGGUUUAAUUCGAAGCAACGCGAAGAACCUUACCAAAUCUUGACAUCCUUUGACAACUCUAGAGAUAGAGCUUUCCCCUUCGGGGGACAAAGUGACAGGUGGUGCAUGGUUGUCGUCAGCUCGUGUCGUGAGAUGUUGGGUUAAGUCCCGCAACGAGCGCAACCCUUAAGCUUAGUUGCCAUCAUUAAGUUGGGCACUCUAAGUUGACUGCCGGUGACAAACCGGAGGAAGGUGGGGAUGACGUCAAAUCAUCAUGCCCCUUAUGACUUGGGCUACACACGUGCUACAAUGGACAAUACAAAGGGCAGCGAAACCGCGAGGUCAAGCAAAUCCCAUAAAGUUGUUCUCAGUUCGGAUUGUAGUCUGCAACUCGACUACAUGAAGCUGGAAUCGCUAGUAAUCGUAGAUCAGCAUGCUACGGUGAAUACGUUCCCGGGUCU
This 1372-nucleotide ribosomal RNA is filed under the name uncultured bacterium. RNAcentral describes it as "bacterial SSU rRNA". It matches the Rfam family "Bacterial small subunit ribosomal RNA", at positions 28 to 1381 of the family's 1533-position model. The record is from RNAcentral.